ACGGGUGAGUAAUACGUAGGAACUUGCCUUUCAGAGGGGGAUAACACGGGGAAACUCGUGCUAAUACCGCAUAAAGUCGAGAGACCAAAGCAGGGGACUGGCAAUAGCCUUGCACUGAGAGAGAGGCCUACGUCGGAUUAGCUAGUUGGUAGGGUAAAAGCCUACCAAGGCGACGAUCCGUAGCUGGUCUGAGAGGACGAUCAGCCACACUGGGACUGAGACACGGCCCAGACUCCUACGGGAGGCAGCAGUGGGGAAUUUUGGACAAUGGGGGCAACCCUGAUCCAGCAAUACCGCGUGUGUGAGGAAGGCCUGCGGGUUGUAAAGCACUUUAGGUUGGGAGGAAGUUUCGCGGGUUAAUAACCUGCGGAGUUGACGUUACCGACAGAAUAAGCACCGGCUAACUCUGUGCCAGCAGCCGCGGUAAUACAGAGGGUGCAAGCGUUAAUCGGAAUUAUUGGGCGUAAAGGGCAUGUAGGUGGUUUUGUAAGUCUGAUGUGAAAGCCCUGGGCUUAACCUGGGAAAGUCGUUAGAUACUGCGAGACUUGAGUCGGUAAGAGGGUAGUGGAAUUUCCGGUGUAGCGGU
Molecule: ribosomal RNA, 586 nt
Filed under: uncultured bacterium
Lineage: Bacteria
Description: bacterial SSU rRNA
Rfam family: Bacterial small subunit ribosomal RNA
Source: RNAcentral